GCCUACAGCUAUACUACCCUGAAUGCACCCAAUCUUGUCUGAUCUCCGAAACUAAGCAGGGUCAGGCCUGAAUUGUACUUGGAUGGGAGAAAGAGCUGUGGUUGUCC
This 107-nucleotide ribosomal RNA is filed under the name Fukomys damarensis (Damara mole-rat). Lineage: Eukaryota; Metazoa; Chordata; Mammalia; Rodentia; Bathyergidae. The record is from RNAcentral.